GGUAAUACGUAGNUCCCGAGCGUUGUCCGGAUUUAUUGGGCGUAAAGCGAGCGCAGGCGGUUAGAUAAGUNUGAAGUUAAAGGCUGUGGCUUAACCAUAGUACGCUUUGGAAACUGUUUAACUUGAGUGCAGAAGGGGAGAGUGGAAUUCCAUGUGUAGCGGUGAAAUGCGUAGAUAUANGGAGGAACACCGGUGGCGAAGGCGGCUCUCUGGUCUGUAACUGACGCUGAGGCUCGAAAGCGUGGGGAGCGAACAGGAUUAGAUACCCUGGUAGUCCACGCCGUAAACGAUGAGUGCUAGGUGUUAGGCCCUUUCCGGGGCUUAGUGCCGCAGCUAACGCAUUAAGCACUCCGCCUGGGGAGUACGACCGCAAGGUUGAAACUCAAAGGAAUUGACGGGGGCCCGCACAAGCGGUGGAGCAUGUGGUUUAAUUCGAAGCAACGCGAAGAACCUUACCAGGUCUUGACAUCCCGAUGCCCGCUCUAGAGAUAGAGUUUUACUUCGGUACAUCGGUGACAGGUGGUGCAUGGUUGUCGUCAGCUCGUGUCGUGAGAUGUUGGGUUAAGUCCCGCAACGAGCGCAACCCUUAUUGUUAGUUGCCAUCAUUCAGUUGGGCACUCUAGCGAGACUGCCGGUAAUAAACCGGAGGAAGGUGGGGAUGACGUCAAAUCAUCAUGCCCCUUAUGACCUGGGCUACACACGUGCUACAAUGGCUGGUACAACGAGUCGCAAGUCGGUGACGGCAAGCUAAUCUCUUAAAGCCAGUCUCGGUUCGGAUUGUAGGCUGCAACUCGCUUACAUGAAGUCGGAAUCGCUAGUAAUCGCGGAUCAGCACGCCGCGGUGAAUACGUUCCCGGGCCUUGUACACACCGCCCGUCACACCACGAGAGUUUGUAACACCCGAAGUCGGUGAGGUAACCUUUUAGGAGCCAGC
RNAcentral lists this ribosomal RNA (934 nucleotides) under uncultured bacterium. Its description in RNAcentral is "bacterial SSU rRNA". It matches the Rfam family "Bacterial small subunit ribosomal RNA", at positions 519 to 1453 of the family's 1533-position model. The record is from RNAcentral.